Molecule: long non-coding RNA, 532 nt
Organism: Oncorhynchus masou masou (cherry salmon)
Lineage: Eukaryota; Metazoa; Chordata; Actinopteri; Salmoniformes; Salmonidae
Exons: 3
Source: RefSeq, a predicted model, not a curated record
CGCUGCGCCACCUACACCGGCAGUUCAACCCGCCCCGCCAGAGCCGGAUUCCCAGCUAGAGCCACGGCUACCGACACCAGAGGGUUAUUCAGGCACGCAUUAACCCGCCGGUCCCGGUUCCCCCGUCGCCACGACUUGUUGAUGGGGAAACCACCUUUUCUGUCAAUCGUAUUUUGGACUCUAGAAGGAGGGGACGCGGAUUCCAGUACCUGGUGGACUGGGAGGGUUACGGCCCGGAGGAGAGAAGUUGGGUGCCUGCUAGGGACAUUCUGGAUCACUCCCUUAUCGAUGAUUUCAAUCGACAGAUCGUUGUUUCUUCCCUGAGGUUGUGUCGUGUGUCCGUGCUCUUCUCUUGUGUGGAUUAUCUGCUGUGCUCCUUCCUACUCAUCCGGACACACUCCCCUGGUUUUCUCAGCACGUUAUCAUCGGAAGAUGCGCCCGAGUCCCUGGGUCGGAUUCCGUCUGAGUACAGUCUGUCUGUCCUGUUGCUGCUGUGAACUAUAUUCAUUAAACCAUCGUUGCUUGCAUCUUG